This 460-nucleotide ribosomal RNA is filed under the name uncultured bacterium. RNAcentral's name for it is "partial 16S ribosomal RNA". It matches the Rfam family "Bacterial small subunit ribosomal RNA", at positions 338 to 795 of the family's 1533-position model. The record is from RNAcentral.
CCUACGGGUGGCAGCAGUGAGGAAUAUUGGUCAAUGGGCUUACGCCUGAACCAGCCAAGUCGCGUGAGGGAAGACUGCCCUAUGGGUUGUAAACCUCUUUUGUCAGGGAGCAAUUGGCGCUACGUGUAGCGUUAUCGAGAGUACCUGAAGAAAAAGCAUCGGCUAACUCCGUGCCAGCCGCCGCGGUAAUACGUAGGAUGCGAGCGUUAUCCGGCUUUAUUGGGUUUAAAGGGUGCGUAGGCGGACGGCAAAGUCAGCGGGAAAAUCGCGGGGCUAAACCUGGCUCCGCAGUUGACACUGGCGUGCUAGAGUGGGCGAGAGGUAUGCGGAAUGCGUGGUGUAGCGGUGAAAUGCAUAGAGAUCACGCAGAACUCCGAUGGCGAAGGCAGCACACCGGCGACCAACUGACGCUGAAGUACGAAAGCGUGGGUAUCGAACAGGAUUAGAUACCCCUGUAGUC